GGCCUACGGGGCGCAGCAGUGAGGAAUAUUGGUCAAUGGGCGCAAGCCUGAACCAGCCAAGUCGCGUGAGGGAUGACGGUCCUAUGGAUUGUAAACCUCUUUUGUCGGGGAGCAAGGCCCGCCACGUGUGGCGGGAAGGAGAGUACCCGAAGAAAAAGCAUCGGCUAACUCCGGGCCAGCAGCCGCGGUAAUACGGAGGAUCCGGGCAUUAUCCGGAGAGACUGGGGGGAAAGAGGUGCG
This 240-nucleotide ribosomal RNA is filed under the name uncultured bacterium. RNAcentral's name for it is "partial 16S ribosomal RNA". It matches the Rfam family "Bacterial small subunit ribosomal RNA", at positions 335 to 571 of the family's 1533-position model. The record is from RNAcentral.